Molecule: ribosomal RNA, 371 nt
Filed under: uncultured bacterium
Lineage: Bacteria
Description: bacterial SSU rRNA
Rfam family: Bacterial small subunit ribosomal RNA
Source: RNAcentral
AUACAUAGGGGGCAAGCGUUAUCCGGAAUUACUGGGCGUAAAGCGUGUGUAGGCGGCCCAUUAAGUCUGGCGUGAAAUCCCACAGCUUAACUGUGGAGGGUCGUUGGAAACUGAUGGGCUUGAGUACGGUAGAGGUAAGUGGAAUUCCAAGUGGAGCGGUGGAAUGCGUAGAUAUUUGGAGGAACACCAGUGGCGAAGGCGGCUUACUGGGCCGGAACUGACGCUGAGACACGAAAGCGUGGGGAGCAAACAGGAUUAGAUACCCUGGUAGUCCACGCCGUAAACGAUGAGCACUAAGUGUCGGAUGCAAAUUCGGCGCUGCAGUUAACACAUUAAGUGCUCCGCCUGGGGAGUACGGUCGCAAGACUGAA